GUUAAUCAGUGACCAAGGGAAGAUAGAGAGGUUAUCACUAUGCAAACUGUGCCAAGGUUCUGUAACAAUCAAGAACACGUGAACACCUACCUGUGGGAGGAGGCUUGGGGGCACACUGUUUCUGGUGCCUGCUGAAGCCAGCAUUCUGGAGAUGGACAGCCGUUCAAGGAAAUGAAGGGAGAUUUUGUAAAUUGCAGAUUCUAAGCAGGAAGACUCAGCCAAGAAUACAUGCUUAGAAGAAAACUGUUUCAAGCAUCGUCAUUUUCGUGGAUGUAUCUGCACAGUCCUCCCUUUCCACAAACACCAACACUGAAGCCCCGACGCUGGGAGUCUCUGAAUUAAGACCCUGGAGAAGAAUUGCCAAAAGGAUUUACUUUUAAGGAAGCCCAUGAUCCUAUAAGAGUGAUCAUCAGUGUAAAUCAAAUCAAAAGACUUAGAUGCUCUCUCCAGCUCUCCAUCUCCCAACACCCAGAAGAGGUGUCAUAUGCGGUUUUUCCUCUGCACCACAUCUUCCAACUAUGAUGUCUAUCAUCAAAAAGUCCAGAGCAAUGAGAUCACAUCAUGGUGAACAGAUACCACCGUAACUCCCAGCAUAAAGAGAAAGCUUGACCCUAGACGUGGAGUGAAUUGAGUGUGCAGGUUCCUAC
RNAcentral lists this long non-coding RNA (647 nucleotides) under Mus caroli (Ryukyu mouse). RNAcentral describes it as "lncRNA (MGP_CAROLIEiJ_G0013798.1)". Lineage: Eukaryota; Metazoa; Chordata; Mammalia; Rodentia; Muridae. The record is from RNAcentral.